GACGAACGCUGGCGGCGUGCCUAAUACAUGCAAGUUGAGCGCUGAAGGUUGGUACUUGUACCAACUGGAUGAGCAGCGAACGGGUGAGUAACGCGUGGGGAAUCUGCCUUCGAGCGGGGGACAACAUUUGGAAACGAAUGCUAAUACCGCAUAAAAACUUUAAACACAAGUUUUAAGUUUGAAAGAUGCAAUUGCAUCACUCAAAGAUGAUCCCGCGUUGUAUUAGCUAGUUGGUGAGGUAAAGGCUCACCAAGGCGAUGAUACAUAGCCGACCUGAGAGGGUGAUCGGCCACAUUGGGACUGAGACACGGCCCAAACUCCUACGGGAGGCAGCAGUAGGGAAUCUUCGGCAAUGGACGAAAGUCUGACCGAGCAACGCCGCGGGAGUGAAGAAGGUUUUCGGAUCGUAAAACUCUGUUGGUAGAGAAGAACGUUGGUGAGAGUGGAAAGCUCAUCAAGUGACGGUAACUACCCAGAAAGGGACGGCUAACUACGUG
RNAcentral lists this ribosomal RNA (497 nucleotides) under uncultured bacterium. RNAcentral's name for it is "partial 16S ribosomal RNA". It matches the Rfam family "Bacterial small subunit ribosomal RNA", at positions 28 to 507 of the family's 1533-position model. The record is from RNAcentral.